RNAcentral lists this ribosomal RNA (453 nucleotides) under uncultured Bacteroides sp. RNAcentral describes it as "partial 16S ribosomal RNA". It matches the Rfam family "Bacterial small subunit ribosomal RNA", at positions 341 to 792 of the family's 1533-position model. The record is from RNAcentral. Lineage: Bacteria; Pseudomonadati; Bacteroidota; Bacteroidia; Bacteroidales; Bacteroidaceae.
ACGGAAGGCAGCAGUGAGGAAUAUUGGUCAAUGGGCGGAAGCCUGAACCAGCCAAGUCGCGUGAAGGAUGAAGGUAUUAUGUAUUGUAAACUUCUUUAGACGUAGAGAAAUAAGGGGAUCGUGAUCCCUGAUGCUAGUAUACGUAGAAUAAGGAUCGGCUAACUCCGUGCCAGCAGCCGCGGUAAUACGGAGGAUCCGAGCGUUAUCCGGAUUUAUUGGGUUUAAAGGGUGCGCAGGCGGCUUUUUAAGUCAGUGGUCAAAUCGUGGAGCUUAACUCCAUCCCGCCAUUGAUACUGGAGAGCUUGAUUGCGGUUGAGGUUGGCGGAAUUCGCCGUGUAGCGGUGAAAUGCAUAGAUAUCGCGAAGAACUCCGAUUGCGUAGGCAGCUUACCAGGCCGGCAAUGACGCUCAUGCACGAAAGUGCGGGGAUCGAACAGGAUUAGAUACCCUGGUA